Molecule: unclassified non-coding RNA, 387 nt
Filed under: soil metagenome
Description: partial contains 5.8S ribosomal RNA, internal transcribed spacer 2, and large subunit ribosomal RNA
Rfam family: 5.8S ribosomal RNA (bases 1-120)
Source: RNAcentral
GAUGAAGAACGCAGCGAAAUGCGAUAAGUAAUGUGAAUUGCAGAAUUCAGUGAAUCAUCGAAUCUUUGAACGCACCUUGCGCUCCUUGGUAUUCCGAGGAGCAUGCCUGUUUGAGUGUCAUGAAAUUCUCAACCUUUUCAGCUUUCUUUGUUGAUCAGGCUUGGAUGUGGGAGUAUGCGGGCUUCUCAGAAGUCGGCUCUCCUGAAAUGCAUUAGCGGGACCUUUGUUGCCUGGCUUUGGUGUGAUAAUUAUCUACGUCAUUGUAGUCAAGCAGCUUAAAAUGAGGUUUCAGCUUCUAACCGUCUCCCCUGAGACAACUUUUUGACAAUUUGACCUCAAAUCAGGUAGGACUACCCGCUGAACUUAAGCAUAACAAUAAGCGGAGGA